This 2478-nucleotide long non-coding RNA is filed under the name Mus musculus (house mouse). RNAcentral's name for it is "long non-coding RNA chrX:159274360-159276838". The record is from RNAcentral. Lineage: Eukaryota; Metazoa; Chordata; Mammalia; Rodentia; Muridae.
GGUGGAGCACCACGCCUUUAAUCCCAGCACUUGGGAGGCAGAGGCAGGUGGAUUUCUGAGUUCGAGGCCAGCCUGGUCUACAGAGUGAGUUCCAGGACAGCCAGCCAGGGCUACACAGAGAAACCCUGUCUCGAAAACCAAAAAAAAAAGAAAAAGAAAAAAAAAAAAAAACUCUGGUUUUCUCCAGUUUAUUAUAAAAUGUUGUAUUAUGCAAAGAGAUAAAUCAGCAUCCCUGGGUAUCAAGUCUAACAGAUACACAACAACAGCAUUUCUAUGUGUGUUUAGUGGGCCCUUUGCAUUUUUACUUUGAUUCAGUUAUUUUAUUUACCAAAUAUAGCUGUGAUUUUAAAAUACUCUCGCUCUCAACCUUCCUUCAUCUCUACUAUACAUAAUAUCAACCCUGGUGAUUUAUUAAUAAUUGGAAAUAAGUUAUAGAAUGUAUGUUGCUAUUUAUUUCCUUAGCCAAAUGGUUAUUUAGAAGAACAUUUGUUUCUGGGUGAUCGCUAUAGGGUUUUUCCUAGUUUAAUUUGUCAUAACCAAGGAAAAUAUGUGAUUCCUGUUUUUAGUUAUUUUAGGAUUAGGGCCCUUGAGAUAGGCCAAGCCUUAGCAAACCAGGUAUGAUCUUUGGGUCCAGUGUGUUGGAAGGAAAAACUGAAUUCUCCAUGGUUUGUCCUUUGACCUCCAUACAUAUGCUAUAGCAUGUGCAUACACACACACACACACUCACACAUAUACAAAAUAAGCAUUUCUUUAUAAAACUAAUUUUAGAGGCUGUCUAUCGCUCAGAGGACCCAAGUUCGGUUCCCAGCACCCAUUGUUCGAAUGCUCACAAUCGACUUAAUCUCCAGCUUACAUACACAGAAUUACAAAUAAAAAUAUUGAAAAUUUUAUAUUUGCUUUAUAGCUUAGAACACGUUUUAAUAACUUUUCCAUAUAUAUUUAAGAGGCCUUAAUCUUUUUACAUUGUUUUAUGCUAAAAUGUAGUAUUUACCUAUCCUAGUAUAAAUUAGAACAAAAUAUUGUCCUUAUUCUAUUUUUAUAUUAGUUGAUACUCAAUGUUAAAGUUUUCAUAUCUCCCUUGUUUCCAUUUAUUUCAUGUUAUAGUCCUAAUCCAUCUGCUUUUGUGUUGUGGUUUGUUUGGUCUGUGACUGAAUGUUCAGUAUGUUUAUAGAUUUACUAUUGGAUUAUUUCUGUGUUUAAAAAAUAGCACAUGCUAAUUAUUUAAGACCUGAAAAAUAAAGAAACAUACAGAAGGAAUUAUACAUCUUUACUCUUGCUAUAGUGAAGUAUUAUUAAAAUGUUUUAUGUGAUUAAAGAACAGAAGGGUUAGGUUUAGAUUUGAAUCUAAAUGUGGGCCCUACUUUUAUCCUUGGACGUAUUGGAUAUCUUCAUGUGUUAACCAUGUAUUAUUGAGCAUGUACUAUGUGCCAGGUAUUUUGCUGAGAUUAUACUUAAAAAUAUUGGCAAGUUCAUCUUGGCUUAAUUUUUUUCUAUUUGUAAAUUGAUGAUAAUGUUUCUCGGAGUUGUUAGGAGCGUCAGAGAUAAUAAUACUUAGUAUUUGCCUAGUGGGCUCGAGCGCAGUAAUUGAUAGCAACCAUUACUAGUAUCCAUUCAGUACUGGACUCUGUAGUCCAAGUGACCUUUGUGAUCACCUGCAUAGCUCUUCGUCUUGGGUUUUAUGUUUACUUAUGUUACAAACAUCUGCUCCCAUUUGUAUGUUUUAAAGUGUGUAGUAAUUGUACAAAGAAGAGUUUGGAGAUGAUAUGGUUCAUGCAGUGUUAGAACACUUGCCUAACAUGCGUGAAGGUCUGGGUUCAGUUCCUGGAACCCCCAAAAGUUAGGUGCAUGCAUUCUUUUUCUAUAUGGUUUUCUAUAUUUACCUCUUUUCUUUGACAGUAAAUAAUGUUUUUUUUUUCCUUCUUACAAAAUGUAAGGCUCCUAGAAGUUUUGGAGGGAAGCAUUUCACACAGUGCAGUGUAAGUAGUAUGGUCAAGCACCAUUUUCUAAGAAUACAGUCACAAAACUGGCCAACUCAUGACCCGCUAUUUUGUUAUUUGAUACCCCUCCCACCAACUACUUUACCCACUUCCUCAUCACAUCUCUAGUGAAUUAUUUUGAAGCUAAUUCUAUGUAAGUCAACCCCAGUGUAAAUAUUUGCAUCAUAUUUCUUUAAAAAUUAAAAUACUUACUGUCGGGCAGGCAAGAUGGCUCAGUGGGUAAGAGUACUGAUUGCUCUACAGAAGGUCCUGAGUUCAAAUCCCAGAAACCACAUGGUGGCUCACAACCACCCAUAAUGAGAUCUGAUGCCCUCUUGUGGUGCAUCUGAAGAAAGCUACAGUGUACUUAUCUUUGGGCCAGAGCAGGCCGAUUAGAGCGAGCAGGGUUGACCAGAGCAAGCAGAGAUCCUAAAAAUUCAAUUCCCAACAACCACAUGAAGGCUCACAACCAUCUAUAUACAGCUACAGUGUACUCAUAUAC